UCGGGCUGAAGACUCUACUUGACUAGCUGAGAGAGGUGCAUGGCCGUCGUCAGUUCGUACUGUGAAGCAUCCUGUUAAGUCAGGCAACGAGCGAGACCCACGCCAACAGUUGCCAGCUCGUCCUCCGGGGAUGGUGGGGACACUGUUGGGACCGCCUCUGCUAAAGAGGAGGAAGGAAUGGGCAACGGUAGGUCAGCAUGCCCCGAAUUAUCUGGGCUACACGCGGGCUACAAUGGGUGGGACAAUGGGUAUCGACACCGAAAGGUGAAGGCAAUCUCCUAAACCCAUCCGUAGUUCGGAUUGUGGGCUGCAACUCGCCCACAUGAAGCUGGAAUCUGUAGUAAUCGUGUCUCAAAAUGGCACGGUGAAUAUGUCCCUGCUCCUU
Molecule: ribosomal RNA, 385 nt
Filed under: uncultured Methanomicrobiales archaeon
Lineage: Archaea; Methanobacteriati; Methanobacteriota; Methanomicrobia; Methanomicrobiales
Description: bacterial SSU rRNA
Rfam family: Archaeal small subunit ribosomal RNA
Source: RNAcentral